AGCGAACGCUGGCGGCAGGCUUAACACAUGCAAGUCGAGGGGCAGCACGGACUUCGGUCUGGUGGCGACCGGCAAACGGGUGCGGAACACGUACACAAUCUACCUUUAUCUGGGGUAUAGCCCGAAGAAAUUCGGAUUAAUCCCCCAUAAUAUAUUAGAGUGGCAUCACUUCGAUAUUAAAACUCCGGUGGAUAAAGAUGAGUGUGCGUCCCAUUAGCUAGUUGGUAGGGUAACGGCCUACCAAGGCAACGAUGGGUAGCUGGUGUGAGAGCACGACCAGCAACACGGGCACAGUGACACGGGCCCGACUCCUACGGGAGGCAGCAGUGAGGAAUAUUGGUCAAUGGACGCAAGUCUGAACCAGACGUGCCGCGUGAAGGAUGAAGGCCUUCUGGGUUGUAAACUUCUUUUAUUGGGGAAGAAAAUUACGGUUUCUACUGUAACCGACGGUACCCAAGGAAUAAGCACCGGCUAACUCCGUGCCAGCCGCCGCGGUAA
Molecule: ribosomal RNA, 498 nt
Filed under: uncultured bacterium
Lineage: Bacteria
Description: partial 16S ribosomal RNA
Rfam family: Bacterial small subunit ribosomal RNA
Source: RNAcentral